RNAcentral lists this ribosomal RNA (468 nucleotides) under uncultured bacterium. Its description in RNAcentral is "partial 16S ribosomal RNA". It matches the Rfam family "Bacterial small subunit ribosomal RNA", at positions 28 to 507 of the family's 1533-position model. The record is from RNAcentral.
GACGAACGCUGGCGGCGUGCUUAACACAUGCAAGUCGAACGGAAAGGCCCUGCUUUUGUGGGGUGCUCGAGUGGCGAACGGGUGAGUAACACGUGAGUAACCUGCCCCUGACUUUGGGAUAACUUCAGGAAACUCGGGCUAAUACCGGAUAGGACCUCCUGCUGCAUGGUGGGGGUUGGUAAGUUUCGGCGGUUGGGGCUGGACUCGCGGCUUAUCAGCUCGUUGGUGGGGUAGUGGCUUACCAAGGCUUUGACGGGUAGCCGGCCUGAGAGGGUGACCGGCCACAUUGGGACUGAGAUGCGGCCCAGACUCCUACGGGAGGCAGCAGUGGGGAAUAUUGCACAAUGGGCGGAAGCCUGAUGCAGCAACGCCGCGUGCGGGAUGACGGCCUUCGGGUUGUAAACCGCGUUCGCCUGUGACGAAGCGUGAGUGACGGUAAUGGGUAAAGAAGCACCGGCUAACUACGUG